CCCUUCCGGUGGAAGAACUCUCGGGAACUGAGAAUAAUACUCCAUAGAUCUAGACUGCUGGAAUGCUUUUAGAUUGAAAGAUUUAUCGCCGAAGGAUGAGUCUGCGGACUAUCAGGUUGUAGUCAGGGUAAUGACCUGACUAGCCUACGACGGAUACGGGUAGUGAGAGCUCUAGCCCGGAGAUGAUAUCUGAGACACGAUAUCAGGCCCUACGGGGCGCAGCAGGCGCGAAAACUUCGCACUGUGCGAAAGCACGACGAGGGAAUCCCAAGUGCUGGCUCGUAAGAGUCAGCUGUUUCUCUGUCUAAAAAACAGGGAGAGUAAGAGCUGGGUAAGACGGGUGCCAGCCGCCGCGGUAAUACCUGCAGCUCAAGUGGUGGCCGCUAUUAUUGGGCCUAAAACGUCCGUAGCCGGUUUCAUAAAUGCCUGGGUAAAUCGUACGGCUUAACCGUAUGAAUUCCGGGUAGACUGUUUAACUUGAGACCGGGAGAGGCUAGAGGUACUCCUGGGGUAGAGGUGAAAUUCUGUAAUCCUAGGGGGACCACCAGUGGCGAAGGCGUCUAGCUAGAACGGGUCUGACGGUGAGGGACGAAGCCCUGGGGAGCAAACGGGAUUAGAUACCCCGGUAGUCCAGGGUGUAAACGCUGCUCGCUUGAUGUUAGUCGGGCUCCGAGCCCAACUAGUGUCGGAGAGAAGUUGUUAAGCGAGCUGCCUGGGGAGUACGGUCGCAAGACUAAAACUUAAAGGAAUUGGCGGGGGAGCAC
Molecule: ribosomal RNA, 764 nt
Filed under: uncultured archaeon
Lineage: Archaea
Description: bacterial SSU rRNA
Rfam family: Archaeal small subunit ribosomal RNA
Source: RNAcentral